Molecule: ribosomal RNA, 794 nt
Filed under: uncultured Rhodocyclales bacterium
Lineage: Bacteria; Pseudomonadati; Pseudomonadota; Betaproteobacteria; Rhodocyclales
Description: bacterial SSU rRNA
Rfam family: Bacterial small subunit ribosomal RNA
Source: RNAcentral
GACUAGAGUGUGGCAGAGGGGGGUAGAAUCCACGUGUAGCAGUGAAAUGCGUAGAGAUGUGGAGGAAUACCGAUGGCGAAGGCAGCCCCCUGGGCCAACACUGACGCUCAUGCACGAAAGCGUGGGGAGCAAACAGGAUUAGAUACCCUGGUAGUCCACGCCCUAAACGAUGUCAACUAGUUGUUGGGGAAGGAGACUUCCUUAGUAACGCAGCUAACGCGUGAAGUUGACCGCCUGGGGAGUACGGUCGCAAGAUUAAAACUCAAAGGAAUUGACGGGGACCCGCACAAGCGGUGGAUUAUGUGGAUUAAUUCGAUGCAACGCGAAAAACCUUACCUACCCUUGACAUGCCAGGAACUUUCCAGAGAUGGAUUGGUGCCCGAAAGGGAACCUGGACACAGGUGCUGCAUGGCUGUCGUCAGCUCGUGUCGCGAGAUGUUGGGUUAAGUCCCGCAACGAGCGCAACCCUUGCCAUUAAUUGCCAUCAUUCAGUUGGGCACUUUAAUGGGACUGCCGGUGGUAAACCGGAGGAAGGUGGGGAUGACGUCAAGUCCUCAUGGCCCUUAUGGGUAGGGCUUCACACGUAAUACAAUGGUCGGUACAGAGGGUUGCCAACCCGCGAGGGGGAGCUAAUCCCAGAAAGCCGAUCGUAGUCCGGAUUGUUCUCUGCAACUCGAGAGCAUGAAGUCGGAAUCGCUAGUAAUCGCGGAUCAGCAUGUCGCGGUGAUACGUUCCCGGGUCUUGUACACACCGCCCGUCACACCAUGGGAGUGGAAUCUGGCAGAAGUAGGUAG